Molecule: ribosomal RNA, 450 nt
Filed under: uncultured bacterium
Lineage: Bacteria
Description: bacterial SSU rRNA
Rfam family: Bacterial small subunit ribosomal RNA
Source: RNAcentral
GUGGGGAAUAUUGGACAAUGGGCGCAAGCCUGAUCCAGCCAUGCCGCGUGUGUGAAGAAGGCCUUCGGGUUGUAAAGCACUUUCAGCGAGGAGGAAGGGUGUUGUGUUAAUAGCACAGCAUUUUGACGUUACUCGCAGAAGAAGCACCGGCUAACUCCGUGCCAGCAGCCGCGGUAAUACGGAGGGUGCAAGCGUUAAUCGGAAUUACUGGGCGUAAAGCGCACGUAGGCGGUGUGUUAAGUUGGAUGUGAAAGCCCCGGGCUCAACCUGGGAAUUGCAUUCAAAACUGGCACGCUAGAGUAUGUGAGAGGGGGGUAGAAUUCCAAGUGUAGCGGUGAAAUGCGUAGAGAUUUGGAGGAAUACCAGUGGCGAAGGCGGCCCCCUGGCACAAUACUGACGCUCAGGUGCGAAAGCGUGGGGAGCAAACAGGAUUAGAUACCCUUGUAGUCC